GCGUUGUUCGGAAUUACUGGGCGUAAAGGGCUCGUAGGCGGCCAACUAAGUCCGACGUGAAAUCCCAAGGCUUAACCUUGGAACUGCGUCGGAUACUGGAUGGCUUGAAUUCGGGAGAGGGAUGCAGAAUUCCAGGUGUAGCGGUGAAAUGCGUAGAUAUCUGGAGGAAUACCGGUGGCGAAGGCGGCAUCCUGGACCGACAUUGACGCUGAUGAGCGAAAGCUAGGGGAGCAAACGGG
Molecule: ribosomal RNA, 239 nt
Filed under: uncultured bacterium
Lineage: Bacteria
Description: partial 16S ribosomal RNA
Rfam family: Bacterial small subunit ribosomal RNA
Source: RNAcentral